This 424-nucleotide ribosomal RNA is filed under the name Fusobacteriota bacterium. Its description in RNAcentral is "Fusobacteria bacterium partial 16S ribosomal RNA". It matches the Rfam family "Bacterial small subunit ribosomal RNA", at positions 355 to 776 of the family's 1533-position model. The record is from RNAcentral. Lineage: Bacteria; Fusobacteriati; Fusobacteriota.
UGAGGGAUAUUGGUCAAUGGGCGAGAGCCUGAACCAGCCAAGUAGCGUGCAGGAUGACGGCCCUAUGGGUUGUAAACUGCUUUUAUGUGGGGAUAAAGUGCGUGACGUGUCAUGCAUUGCAGGUACCACAUGAAUAAGGACCGGCUAAUUCCGUGCCAGCAGCCGCGGUAAUACGGAAGGUCCGGGCGUUAUCCGGAUUUAUUGGGUUUAAAGGGAGCGUAGGCUGUCUAUUAAGCGUGUUGUGAAAUAUACCGGCUCAACCGGUGGCUUGCAGCGCGAACUGGUCGACUUGAGUAUGCAGGAAGUAGGCGGAAUUCAUGGUGUAGCGGUGAAAUGCUUAGAUAUCAUGACGAACUCCGAUUGCGCAGGCAGCUUACUGUAGCAUAACUGACGCUGAUGCUCGAAAGUGCGGGUAUCAAACAGG